GGUUGUAUAGCUCAGUGGUAGAGAGCAAUCGGCUGCAGAUCGAGAGGUUCCGGUUCAACCCCGGGUGUCCC
Molecule: non-coding RNA, 71 nt
Organism: Trichonephila inaurata madagascariensis
Lineage: Eukaryota; Metazoa; Arthropoda; Arachnida; Araneae; Nephilidae
Source: the annotation of a GenBank genome assembly